UACGAAGGGGGCUAGCGUUGCUCGGAAUCACUGGGCGUAAAGGGUGCGUAGGCGGGUCUUUAAGUCAGGGGUGAAAUCCUGGAGCUCAACUCCAGAACUGCCUUUGAUACUGAAGAUCUUGAGUUCGGGAGAGGGAAGUGGAAUUUCGGGUGUAGCGGUGAAAUGCGUAGAUAUCAAGAGGAACACCUGAGGUGAAGACGGGUUGCUGGGCUGACACUGACGCUGAGGCGCGAAAGCCAGGGGAGCAAACGGG
This 253-nucleotide ribosomal RNA is filed under the name uncultured bacterium. Its description in RNAcentral is "partial 16S ribosomal RNA". It matches the Rfam family "Bacterial small subunit ribosomal RNA", at positions 524 to 776 of the family's 1533-position model. The record is from RNAcentral.